RNAcentral lists this long non-coding RNA (1349 nucleotides) under Setaria viridis. Its description in RNAcentral is "long non-coding RNA (SVIR_LNC008999)". Lineage: Eukaryota; Viridiplantae; Streptophyta; Magnoliopsida; Poales; Poaceae. The record is from RNAcentral.
GGCCGUCGUGAAAAUUUAGGCACCUCUGGCUGUAGCUGCGAUCGUCUUAGUUUAAUUACCUCUGUCUGCAACAUAGGUGUGUUUUGACGAUUUGCAACCCACAUAUUGAGCAGCCCCUCCGUUUGUUUCCGAAAAUUUCUUUGAAACAAUGGUCUUGUUUAUUUUUUGGGAAAACCUAUGCCGAUGUCAAAGAUUAGUCUCCUUUAAUUGGUAUUUCUACAAGAUCUGUGUAGAUUCCAAGAAAGUUACGAAAUUCAUAUCGUGAACACCGAGGUAGUAGUACUCAACUAUUGAUUCUUUCCUCUUUAAUCCACCCUAACCUUUAUCAUUAACCCCCCUUCAAAAAUAUAUAUUAUUCCAGGAUUCAUGCUCCUUACCAUCUAUAAAAAAAAACUCUUAUAUUUGAAAUAUGCGGAUGGUGGCAUACACAUACACACAGUAGAUUGAUGAACGCAUCUUCAUUUCAUAUCUAUUGAAGAAAUCAAUCACGGAUCCAAAUUGGUGAGUUGAUGCCCACUCUAGUUGCAUCGUUAUCUAUGAGCAUGUCACCUAUCAAUAAAAAUAUAGUAUUGUUAAUUUUUUAAAUAAAUUUAGAAAAAUACCAGCAUCUGUGCUGGGUCAAGAGUAAUUUUCCAACUCAGUAACAUAUAUAUGUGUAAGAAUAUUAGUGAGUAUGUGUACGUAUAUGUUUGUAUAUGUGUAUUGUGUUCCGCAAAAGAAAGAAUAAGGAAAAGGUCAGAUGCAUUCCUUAUGUUUUGCAAACCUUUGGCUGUCUCGGCAAAUCGGCAACAUAAUUUAACUCUUUAAUUUGUCUGUGCAAAUCCACUGUAACAAAAAUUAACUCUUUAAUUUGUCACUUUCGCAAAAUAUGUUUUUUUACCACAUAACUUCAUUCCUCUUCCAUUCAAUACCCCUUUCCACACCCCUUUGUACACAUUAAUUUCCAUCUACGCCCCUGCACUGCCUGCACCCGGAGUGUUGUGAGGCGGUGGGCUACGAGUUUUAGUGAUGGACUAUGGCAUCGCUAACGAUGGCUCGCCGUAUAUCUUUUCCCCCAAUUUUAGCGCAUAUUUUUGUUCCUUGAAUUUGUCCUCAAAGUUUUAUCUCCAAAUUUUUUGUUUACUUUUUUCCUCCAUUUUUUGUAUUCUAUUUCCAAUUUUUUUCUUCUGUAUGUUUUAUUAUUUUGUUGUGUUACAAUCUUUUAUAAUAUGUUUUCAUAAAUAUUAUUUUUUGGUUAUAUAUUUUGGCUUAUAUACAAUAUUAUAUGUAUAUUUUUGCAUGAGUUCGUAUUAUAAUCAAUAUAAAUUCCGUUACAUUAUUUUGUAUAAUUUUUUAACUUAAGAUGUUCC